GAACGCCUGCGCGGGGUAUGUCAAUGGUUUUUACCUUUCAGACUAGAGAACAAAGUACACAGGAGAGACACCUGUGACAUACAUUAUUUUGGAUACACAAUUCUGUGAAUAUUAUUGUCAACACCAAAGGGCCUAAAUCUAGCGAAACAACUACCUGGGUGGGUGAACAAACGUGGAGGAACUGGGCUCUGAGGAUUUAAUGGAUACUGUUUGCCAAAUGGAUUGUACCUGAAGUCGGAGAGAAGGUUGUCAACGGAACUACCAGCCAGGACUCCAUUUUGGAGAAAAGGUUGUCAACGGAACUACCAGCCAGGACUCCAUUUUGGAGAAAAGGUUGUCAACGGAACUACCAGCCAGGACUCCAUUUUGGAGAAACGGCAGCUGAUCACCAUGGAGCCCCCGGAGGACUCCCAGUGCCCGUUGAUGUUCUGGGAGAGAAUGAAGCAUUGCAGCAGUUCUUUGACGAUGUAAGUGGGUCCAGUGGGCCUGACAUGCUGGCCUUGAUGUGGGCCAUGACCAGCCUCUCCGGGCACUUCAUGAGGACUGAGGAUGCCAGGAUAUGAGUGGGGUCCUGAGAGUGCGGUG
Oncorhynchus tshawytscha (Chinook salmon) is the source of this 585-nucleotide long non-coding RNA. Lineage: Eukaryota; Metazoa; Chordata; Actinopteri; Salmoniformes; Salmonidae. The record is from Ensembl.